UAUUCUCCCCAUAGCUCAUCUCUCCCAAAGCCUUCAUUUUUUUAUUUUUUUCCCAUCUUCUUCUUCCUUCCGUCACUUUCCAUUUCUCCCUCUCUUUUUAUUUUUAUUUUUUCCUUCUUCUUCUCUAUCUCUCUUUCCUUUUUUCCUGCUUCUUCCUCUGUCACUCUGCAAUUUUUUCCUCUUCUUCCUCCUUUGCGCGUCUCCCAUAUAUCUCUUUUUUCUUUUUCUUUUUUCCGUCCCUCUCUCUUCUCUUACUUCUUCUCCUUCUUCCCGCUCUCCCUCGAAGACCAGUUGUUGUCUGGCCUGGCCUUAUCCUUUUCGUGGGCUAAUAUUCAGAUCUGAACCGCAUAUCUCCUUAGAAAGAUCAGAGUUUUUUACAUGUGAAGCCCAACCGACGCCGACAUUGUUCACACAGAUCCGAUUGUCUCUUCAACAGCCACGUUGAAGCCCAAC
Prunus avium (sweet cherry) is the source of this 453-nucleotide long non-coding RNA. RefSeq lists it as uncharacterized. The record is from RefSeq and is a predicted model, not a curated record. Lineage: Eukaryota; Viridiplantae; Streptophyta; Magnoliopsida; Rosales; Rosaceae.